GACGAACGCUGGCGGCGUGCUUAACACAUGCAAGUCGAACGGUGAAGCUCCAGCUUGCUGGAGUGGAUCAGUGGCGAACGGGUGAGUAACACGUGAGCAACCUGCCCCAGACUCUGGAAUAAGCGCUGGAAACGGCGUCUAAUACUGGAUACGAGAUCAAGCCGCAGGGUGAUGGUCUGGAAAGUUAUUCGGUUUGGGAUGGGCUCGCGGCCUAUCAGCUUGUUGGUGAGGUAAUGGCUCACCAAGGCGACGACGGGUAGCCGGCCUGAGAUGGCGACCGGCCACACUGGGACUGAGACACGGCCCAGACUCCUACGGGAGGCAGCAGUGGGGAAUAUUGCACAAUGGGCGAAAGCCUGAUGCAGCGACGCCGCGUGAGGGAUGACGGCCUUCGGGUUGUAAACCUCUUUCAGCAGGGAAGAAGCGAAAGUGACGGUACCUGCAGAAGAAGCACCGGCUAACUACGUG
RNAcentral lists this ribosomal RNA (468 nucleotides) under uncultured bacterium. RNAcentral's name for it is "partial 16S ribosomal RNA". It matches the Rfam family "Bacterial small subunit ribosomal RNA", at positions 28 to 507 of the family's 1533-position model. The record is from RNAcentral.